Molecule: unclassified non-coding RNA, 1825 nt
Filed under: Hevea brasiliensis (rubber tree)
Lineage: Eukaryota; Viridiplantae; Streptophyta; Magnoliopsida; Malpighiales; Euphorbiaceae
Source: RNAcentral
UCUCUCUUUCACUCUCACAGUAUUUCUGCAGCUGCUCCGCGUCUCACUCCACCGCUAAUUUUCCCGCAUUUUCUCUUCCAACCCCAAACCUCGAGCCGAACGGGCCUUAGCAGAAUCUUUUGAUCAUAUCACUCUUUCGAAUCACAUUCUCUCGUCGUUUUGCAUCGUAACGCAAUUCGCUGCUUCUUUGACCCAUUUCAUCAUAGUUUUCUUCGAAUUUUAACCCUCAAAUCUCAGAGCCAACUGAGACUUUCCUUCCAAAUUCGAUCAGUUUUCCCUUCGAUUAGUUCUUCAAUUUCGGCUCUGAGCUUUGAUUCUUUACUCUUUUCCAAAAAGGGAAAAUAAAGAAAAGAAAAGCUGAUAUGAAGUAUCGAUGAGCUGAGGGAAAGUGGGUGAUUUAGGGUUUGGUGGUGUUAAAUGAGGCAAUGUGUGUGCUUAGGUGUAUGCGUAGGAGUAUGAGGCAGCAAUGGGUGGGGUUAUGUUAGGGAAAGGAAGUAAUUGAUUUCUAGCGGCGAAAAUGACUGCAGCCGAACAGUCGAGGCCAGGGCCUGUGGAGAGAGAGAUUGAGUUGGCUAUCACUGCUCUUAAAAAAGGAGCCCAAUUACUCAAGUAUGGACGUAGAGGGAAACCCAAAUUUUGCCCCUUCAGACUGGCCAAUGAUGAAUCUGCUCUAAUAUGGUUGUCAGGAAAAGAGGAGAAGCAUCUUAAACUGAGUCAUGUCUCCAGAAUUAUAUCUGGACAGCGUACACCAAUAUUUCAGAGAUAUCCUCGCCCGGAGAAAGAAUACCAGUCAUUUUCUCUCAUAUAUAGUGAUAGGUCUUUAGAUUUGAUUUGCAAGGACAAAGAUGAAGCUGAAGUCUGGAUUACUGGUCUAAAAGCCCUAAUAUCACGCAACCAUCUUAGGAAAGGGAGAGCAGAUUCCAGAAGUGAAGGAAUCUCAUCAGAAGCCACUAGUCCUAGAGCACACACCCAAAGAAGUUCUCCUUUGAGUUCUGCAUUUGGUAGUGGUGACAGUUCACAGAAGGAUGACAUGGAUCCCCUACGUCUUCGUACUCCAUAUGAUAGUCCUCCUAAAGCUGGUUUAGAAAAGGCAUUAUCUGAUGUGGAAUUAUAUGCUGUGGCUCCCAAGGUUUUAUAUCCAUCUGAAUCUGCUUGUGGCUCAGUUCAUUCUGUGUCAUCAGGAGGCUCAGAAGCAAUGAACGGGCGUCUAAAGGGUAUGAGUGUGGAUGCUUUUAGAGUUAGUUUAUCAAGUGCGGUGAGCUCAUCGAGUCAAGGUUCUGGUCAUGAUGAUAGCGAUGCAUUAGGGGAUGUUUACAUUUGGGGAGAAGGCACAGGUGAUGGUAUUAUAGGUGGGGGAGUGCAUGGAGUUGGAGGUUCUGGUGUAAGGAUGGAUUCUUUUCUUCCAAAAGCCUUGGAAUCUGCUGUCCUAUUGGAUGUUCAGACUAUAGCAUGUGGUCGUCGACAUGCUGCUUUGGUAACAAAACAGGGGGAGGUUUUCUCUUGGGGAGAGGAACUUGGAGGCAGAGUUGGGCAUGGUGUUGACUCUGAUGUCUUGCAUCCCAAGCUUGUAGAUGGUCUAAAAAAUAUCAAUGUUGAACUUGUGGCAUGUGGAGAGUACCAUUCUUGUGCAGUAACACUUUCAGGAGAUUUAUACAUAUGGGGUGGUAGUUCUCACAACUUUGGGCGUCUUGGAUAUGGAAAAGAAGCUAGUAAUUGGGUUCCAAAAAAGUUAAAUGGACCUCUAGAGGGAAUACAUGUCUCAUCAGUCUCAUGUGGACCAUGGCAUACAGCUGUUGUAACUUCUGCUGGGCAAUUGUUUACUUUU